Molecule: long non-coding RNA, 279 nt
Organism: Juglans microcarpa x Juglans regia
Lineage: Eukaryota; Viridiplantae; Streptophyta; Magnoliopsida; Fagales; Juglandaceae
Exons: 2
Source: RefSeq, a predicted model, not a curated record
UUGAAACAACUUAAAUGUUGUUAUGUGAAGCUUAUUGGAUUCGAGUACUUCAUGGUUUAAAAAAAUAUCAAGUAGAGAAGAACCAACUUAUAAGGAGAUUUUACUGCCCUGACAUGAAUUGCUGGUAGGUUGUAUAUUUUUGCCUUUUGGUAUAAUGUUAUUUAUUAUUAAAUUGUUGUCUUGUUAUAUUAUAUUGCUAAUGAUAUCUUGUGUAUUUUGUAUCAUAGGUUGAUGGGGAUUGGCUUCUGGCUGGCUUUUUGUUUUAUUUUUUUAUUUUUA